Octopus sinensis (East Asian common octopus) is the source of this 151-nucleotide long non-coding RNA. RefSeq lists it as uncharacterized. The transcript has 3 exons. Lineage: Eukaryota; Metazoa; Mollusca; Cephalopoda; Octopoda; Octopodidae. The record is from RefSeq and is a predicted model, not a curated record.
CGUGGGUGUUUCAUUCCUCAUCCUUAAACAAACCUUAUUCAGGGACCUUUUGAACAGGACAGGUUACUUGGCCUGAAGAAAAAAUUCUCACAGGACCCCACCUGCAAGGUCAUGUGCUGUUUAUAUUGAUAUGAGAGGCGUAAUGGUAAUA